Molecule: long non-coding RNA, 331 nt
Organism: Helianthus annuus (common sunflower)
Lineage: Eukaryota; Viridiplantae; Streptophyta; Magnoliopsida; Asterales; Asteraceae
Exons: 3
Source: RefSeq, a predicted model, not a curated record
CGAGCAUGGAUUAAUGAUCACCAACAUGAGGAGAUCAUAAGGAUGGAUAGCAUGUCUACGGGCUCAAGUAUGGAGGCUAACGGGUCAAAAGGAAGCAUGGAACCUAUGCUUGAACUUGGGCGCACAAGGUAGUACGAAUCACAGAUUUUCAUCACAAGGAGUAGCGAUCAAAGACCGAGUCACAAGUCAGAUUGUACGGGAAUACUUGACUAUGUAAAUUGAUAGUUAUAAGUUAUGCUUUUGUUAUGUAAAUGAGUAUAAAAGAUGCAUAUAAUGUAAGAAAGUGUCUCAUAAUGAACUUGCUAGUAGGUCAAAACGUUUUUAAUGAAAG